AGUUUUUUUAUUGCUCCAUCAACCGAUGCAGCAAGGAGGGAGCAGGAUAAUUUUUGGGAAAACAAAAAAACUCUUUGGUUUCUGGUUUCUUCAUCACUAAUAACGCACACAUGGGUGACAGGAAGCAUAAGUCGAUUCCAUUCCAAUAUCAAAGACACAAGCGAUCAACAAUCUUACUUCUUUUUCUUUCUUCUCAAAACUAUGAAGCUUACCAACGAUUUCAGUUCUAACAAAGCUUACCAACGAUUUUAGAAGCCUCAGAUUUGUUACCUGCUUGAAGUUUCAAAAUCAGAAGUAAUCAGUAAAUCGGAGGAACAAUGAUAUGAGUUUUCGUAAAUCAUAACUCAAAAGGAACAAGGAAUUAAGUUUUGAUACCCUCUUGGUGAUUUGAAGUGUGGAAAAUCUAGAACCAAGAAGCCAAUAAUAUAGAAGCCAUUUUCUUUUUUGUGUAUUAUUUUGAUUGAAAUUUUAAUUUUAUGUAUUUGCAAUAGGAAAUUAAAAUUUAUAAUAUUUUUGCUUAAAUC
Long non-coding RNA from Lactuca sativa (garden lettuce), 524 nucleotides. RefSeq lists it as uncharacterized. The record is from RefSeq and is a predicted model, not a curated record. Lineage: Eukaryota; Viridiplantae; Streptophyta; Magnoliopsida; Asterales; Asteraceae.